UUGGUUUUCAAGGAUUUGGUGGGAAAUUUUCAGAAAUGACGCUUUUAUUUAUUUAUUAGAAGUAUCUUUUCUCCAAACAUUUUGUCAUUGAUUUCUGAUUUUAAUAUGUAAUAUUGGUAUGAGGUCUAUGCCCAAAUUAAAUAUUGAUUUGUGGAAUUAGGUGGUUUUGACUUGUGUUUUCAUGUCCAAUUCAAUUGGUUUUGUCAAGCCUUACUAACGUAUACUCUAAUAACUCUAUUGCAGAUGAUUGAUGGCUGUGUACCAUUUUUAGCGAACCAACUGUGAGCAAUGUAGAGAAGAAGAGGAUUCUUCAUUUCCCUAUUGUUGGUGGUGGCCCAACUGGUGUGGAGUUUGCUGCAGAGCUUCAUGAUUUUGGAUGUGUACCAUUUCUAGAGGCAGGAGGUCAUAUUCUGGGAAUGUUUGACAAAAGAAUUACAGCUUUUGUUGAACAAAAGUUUCAAAAAACCUUAAACAAGUGUUGCUUCAUUGAGCACAGGCUAAUAGGCGAGCACUGGCGACUGAUGAAUGGCUGUGAGUUGAGGGAUGUGAUAACGUAUAUGCCCUUGGUGAUUGUGCUACCAUCAAUCAGCAAAAAGUCAUUGUACCUGCCUCUUGUUUUUUCUUAUAUAUCAAACUUUCUAGUUGUUGCAUUAUUAUCUUGAAGAGUUAGCUGUCAUAUAAGUAUUUUCUUCUAUAGUUGUGUAAAUUUCCAACACAAUUGUAUUCUCUUUUUCCAACUCCUGUGUUGUUUUUCUUCCAUGAUGGAAAAACGUAGUAUCCUGUACUGAUUUUCCUCAAGAAAUUUAGUAUAAUUAACCAUCCUUUAACCAGAAGAAAUACAUUUGUCCAUACUAGAAAUAUAGGCUUAACGAUUAAAUUCUAUUAAAAUUGUUCCAUGUGUUGA
Molecule: long non-coding RNA, 904 nt
Organism: Humulus lupulus (European hop)
Lineage: Eukaryota; Viridiplantae; Streptophyta; Magnoliopsida; Rosales; Cannabaceae
Exons: 2
Source: RefSeq, a predicted model, not a curated record